Molecule: long non-coding RNA, 7243 nt
Organism: Passer domesticus (house sparrow)
Lineage: Eukaryota; Metazoa; Chordata; Aves; Passeriformes; Passeridae
Exons: 9
Source: RefSeq, a predicted model, not a curated record
UGGCGGGGGUGCGGGGAAGGCGGCCGGCCCGGCGGCCCUCAGGUCCCCCUCAGGCGGGUCUCGAGCGCCGCCCGUUCGCCCGUGUGGGGCCGCGGGGCCCCGUGCUGCUGCCGUCCCGGGGAAGACUGUUCACGUCAGUUCACCCGGCAUUGACGGAACCUGGGUGUGCUUACAGAGCCUUAGAAAACUAUUUCUGAUUUAAAACUGCUAAUUAAACUGUUUAAACAGUUAAUCUAACAAUUCAGGAAGCUCACAGAGGAAGUAAACGCAAAUGAGGAAAAAAUCUCCAAGCCCAGAUGUUUUAGAGGGAAGAGACAGUGGAAGAAAACAUGUCAGGAAAUUCUGAAUAAACCUCCUGCUGCCAUUCUAUUAGUCCUUUGUUCAUCUGCCUGAGCCUCCUUGCAGAUAGGACACCACUCAAAAAUGGCAUUAGUGCUGCUCUGUCUGGAGGCAAUGUGACAGUGCAACACUGCCACCACCCAAACAGGAGAUACAUAAGUCACAGUCAACAGCUCCUAAAUGGAUCACUAGGGGCUGGAUAGCCUCUUUGCUGAGCUGCAGCCAUACAGAGCCAGCUUCAGGGCCAACACAUUACCUGCUGCAGACAGGUGUUUGGAAAUGACCGAGGUCCAGUGAUCUGACUGUUCUGAGGCAGUCUGGGAGGUAUGUUCACUGCAGAGCUGAUGAACCAAACUGUUUGGCCAGCCUUGCCUCAAGAACCUGUUUGCUGCACAGAUGUCAGUUUGAGACUACUCUGGUUUUCUCCAGAUGGACACAUCUGAGGUGUCCACCCACUCACAUAAUCAUCACACAACAAAAUAAGGAUAAACAAGAGGGCACAGUGAGGUAGAUGGAGAAGGCUGCACAAUGUCAGAGGGACUAAUGGAAAGCAGAAAGAGAUAUCUGGGAGAAUCUACAGUCUAGACUCCUACAUGGAAAUCCAGUUUAGUGGCCACAAAAGAGAUGACACUUCUGGGCAAGGGAAGCAUAUUCCAUCUCAGAAAGCUCAGAAGACAAGAAUGGUUGGAAGCGUGCCACUGGAGAAAGUUACUCAUUGGACUCAGCAACAGUUGGAGACAUUAUUACAAUUUCUUCUGGACAGAAUUGUGGAAAAGUAAAAGUAACACUUAUUAAUGACUGAUUAUUCAUACACUGAUUCUCUAUCCCACAGAUUUACUCUCUAUCCCUCACUUCCUCCACCAAUUCAGAACAGGCUGCUUCUAGGUCCCUUCACAAAGGCCCACAAAAGCCCAGGAGCAUUCUCCACAACUCUGACACCUGGAGCACUCUCCUGCAUUUCUCCAUCUUGCCACUUCUGUCUCCACACCAUGUAAGAGCCCACAACUUGCUGCUCUGCUGGAACAGAUGAGUUUCUCCUCACUUGUUCCGCUCAUUUUUCAUAUUUCAUUUCAUGUGGAUCUAAGUUUUUGCCUGUCUGUAAAUAUCCAUGGGUGUCUGCCACUACUCAUCAAUAGUUUCCUGAUAGUUGUUUUUAAAGCAGAAUCUGUUUGAUUUGUGAAGUGGCUAAUGAGUGAUUGAAUGCAUUCUAUUUGGAAGACACAGCGAGUACAAGCCAACCACCAGAGCUGGCUCAAAGCUUCUUAUCAGCAUGAGCAAACUACCCUGUGCUGCCCUGAGGAUGAAGUGCACACACUACACACAGAUCUGGCCUUUUCUGCCACAGAAAAGUGAACAGGAUCCAGCAAAGGCUCACAUGACCCAUUUUUCCUGAAGUAGCUGCUGUUUCAAGACUUUAUUGUUUCAUACAUUCUCAUCCCCUCUGCUGGCAGCAGCAGCUGCCAGGCUGGUUUUCAGGGCUUCGCCAGAGCCCAUUCUGCCAUCCCCAUUGCUGCCUCCUUUGCCUGUGCCUGGAUCUGACCCUGCCAAGCACUGAGAGAUUAGCCUCAUUCAAAAGUAAAGAAAAAUCCCCAAAUCAGCUCUGAGUUCUACCUCUGCCUACACUUUCACCUCGCUAGAAAUUAUUUAUCUAUAAAUAACCUUGCCUGCAAAGUUGAAACAAAAUUAUGAGCAGUAUAUGUCAGUUCCCACCUCGAGUUUCACUCUGACUGAAAUCUGCUGCAUUAUGUUAAAAGAAAAAAACUAAAACACCUCUGCCCAAGUCACCAAGGUCACUACUAAUUGCUUCUCUUUGGUAAAUGAGGUAGGCAUGUACAUGCACACACAUGCCCACAGACACCUACUGCAGUCAAAAGGCAAAGAACUUGCUUUGUGCUUUAUUUAAAUUAUCAAAUUGUUGCAAGUGUACUUGAAACAAAAUACAAACACUAAAGCCAGCUAUGCACAAUGCAGGGUGCAGAAUGGCAUGUAAAACCUAAGAAUGACACCAAGUUCCCAUCAGGAUACACACCCCAGUGAAGUCUCAGUUCAUGCUUCAUAAUUAAAAAAGAUGUACUACACUUAAGAAAUCCCUCAACAGACUUCAUCAGCACAAGGCUCGAGUGAUAUAAGACAACUUGCACUGCUCCCAUGCUUUGGGAUACAUUUUUUCUUAGCAAUUGACCACAAAAUGUGUAAUAGUGCAUGCUCAUAUGCAAUACAUUCCAGCAAGUAAAACAUCAGGGAUUUAUCCACACAAAAGCUCCAGAUCUCUCAUUCCCCCUUUCUGCAAGAUAAGGAGGAGGAGCAUAUAGCACAAUGAAGACAAACCCAUUCUGGAAGGAAUGCAGGUCUGCACUAAACAGUGAAUUUUGCUCUUGAGGUCAUAAAUACAAUCCAAAAAGAGCAAAUAAUUUUGUAGAAUUCAUUAUAUCUGUAGGAAGAAAUCCAUGGGUCCAUUUUCCAGAGUUGGGACAAGCUGUCUCAGGCCCAGCCUUGCAAAGCAUUCAGCUGUGGGAAGGAAGGGGUGGCUUGGCAGAAACAGUAAAGCUGGUCAGGGAGUAAGGGAAAACUGCCAAAUACACAAGCCCUGAUUACAAUUAGUAGAUUUAAAGACUCUUCUGUUAUGAGAUCUCUAGAAUGAAAAAGAAAAGGUUGGGGAAUGCUUAGCCCUGUUCUAGUGGUAUAGCUGGGUACAUGAACUGCUCCAGGGCACCCCAGCUCAUUUGCAUUAUAAGCAGCACAAAAGCAAUGGACACGGCCCCUUCCAGGGAAUAAUGUCCCAAGGAGGGGGUAGAUGGCAGCUCAGGGCUGGCAGGGGGGCUUCCUAGAGAAAUAGAGGGGACCUGUGCUUGAAGCAGAGCGUGGGAGAAGGAGCAGUGCCAGCCACCCUUGACUUCCCACCACCCAGCAGGAGAUGGGACAACUGAACAUAAAUGAGGCCAACCCCGAGUGCUAAAACAUGUCCCAAAACCAGAAAGUCCAAAGGUGUCACACAGCAGGGCAUAAAAUCUAGAGUCAUGGCUGAUUUGUGCUCCUCCCAGAUCUCAGGCAUGCUUGAAGUGGUAGAGUUCUCAUUAGUAACUGCUGUUGUAAUUUUUAAAAGGCUGUUCAAUCAUUAUUGACCUAAUACAUCAACAAAAGACCACAACAAUCAAGAGAUUUAUCAAUGAAGUCACAGAAAAGGUAGCUUACUUUCAAAACAGCCUAAGAUAAGAAUUCAUAGGACACAAAAAAGAUGUACUGAUCUAUUUUUAUAGAAAUAUAAAUGACAUGGAAUAUUUUAUUAAUUAUUUGCUGUCUGUGCUCUCUUACAAAGAGUACAAAUUUUUCAUUUUACUGAGGGAAAAUUAAUUUGCUAUUCCCAUGGCUAAAAAGACAAUUAUAUAUGAACCUGACAAUCAUAAUCAGAAAUUAUUAAUUACUUGGUUGAGACUGUUAUUCCUAUAAACCUGGUUUCAUAUGCAUGAACAAAAUGAUGUGCUCUGAUUAGAGCAUGAAGCAGAAACAACAGCACUAGCACAAAUGUCUAGAAAAUGCCUCUGCAAACAAGAAUGCUGCAAGAUCUAGACAUCACUUCAGUUAAAUAGAGGCCAUCCUGAUGUGCACAAAGAACAUGCACACAGGUAGAGGUUGCUUGCUCAGCACUGCCAGACAAGGACUCCACAUGCACACUUACUCUUAAGACACAUUAUGCAGAAUUAUCAAUUAUGUAUAAUUGUAGUCUCCUACUUAAUGGCAGAGGUGGCUCCUCUCUUCCCACACAGACCUUGUAAAAGCCGAUCUACUUCAUCAGGUUUUUAUAAUGUUGCAUUUUUCACCCAUUUAGAUAGCACUGAUAAACUGACCUAAGACUUUAUUGUAAAAGACAGAUUCUCAAAAAUCUACUGCCUUUAUGGUAACUCCUUUUAUCCUCCAAGUUACCAGCUGUCUAGUUCUAUGCAACCACUUUGUUUAUGGAGCAAAAUUCUGCCCACAUACUGCAAUCCCCUUCAGAGCUCAAGGCUAUUCAAAGCAUUGCCACCAGCUACAAGGAAGAAGUUUCCUUAUAUUUUGCCCUUCCCCUUAUUUUUUCCCCUCAGAUUUUACUAUUUGUCAUCAAUACAGUAAAAUAGCAUUGAGCAAGAGCCCUGGCAUAUUUCUACCACACGAAACUUACGCUUUUAUGUACAUACACUGCUCAACAAAAAGGAAAAAAAUAUUUUUGCUACUACUGUUUGAGCAGGUUUGAGGAUUUGGUUCACUAAAACAAAAAAAAAAAAAACCCAGAAAGACACCCAACCAGAAUCUCAGGUGUGUGAAAAGUUAGUUUAAACUAAGGCCAGUAAGUGCUAUAGCAGAGCCCUUGGCAGGGCUUCCCUCUGGCUGUGGAAAAGGCCAGGAUCACAAGCCUGUGCAGUACCCAGGAUCCCACCUGCCCCUGCUCACAGCUCAGUGCUCACCUUACCCUGAGUGCAGCACCCACUCCAGCUGUUAAGCAUCAAGGUACAAGGACAAGGGAAAGCACCAGAAACAGCCAGGAAGAAACAGACUGAGGAAUCAAUGUAAGCAGCUUCCUGACAGCACAGAUGACAAAUGCCUUCCUGUACUCUGACCUACCACAUGCCUUAUCUUAGAAGUAACCAUCCCAAAACACAGCUCCAUUUUCCUGUGAUUUCAUUCCUUGGCUCUCCAGAGGAGAUCAAUAGACACAGCAGUGCUGGCUGCCUGCACAAGCCUGGGGCCAUGCCAUGGAAAUCCCAGUGUGGCCAUAAAGAGAACAGCAACUGAAUGGGAAGCAGAGGAAGGAACAAAGCUUAUCUAAUACUUCAGCUCCUCAAACCCCACGUGUUACUGACAAGUAAAACUUCACAAAAGGAAGGCCUUGUAAAACCAUGGCUCAGGCCUGUUACUUUGGCUAAGUAGAAAAGGACUUUGGGAAAGAGACUGAGCUGAAUUAGGGGUAGAAAAAUAAGUUAUAUAAACCACCAUGUGUUCACAUUGUGGUGUAUGGUGGUUGAAUUAUGUUUGUUAUGCUUUAAAGCUACAUAACUGAUAAUGGGCUGACUGCCUGAAAAGGCCUGGUUUUUUGCAAUAAAGCAGCUCUCCUUUGCAUCUGCCUGGGGACUCUGCCUCACCAUGGACCCUCUCCCAAGCAGUGCUAAAGUAGCACUAAAGUAGCACACAGCCCCAAAGCAGAUACUUCAGGAUGGUUUUGCUUGAGUGAAAAGUUUGCAAAUAAAAAUUGAUUUGGAAGAGUUACAGUGCUGGUACACAGGGAGUUUACCCUAUGGGCCGAGAUGUUUGUUUUAUUAAACACACACAUUAGAGGAGACUUGCAAUAAAGAAUAGUGAGAAUGACACCAAUUUUUCUUUGGCAGAACUCCAGCAGGAAAUAAUCCUGUGUCAGCUACAGCUCUGUCCUCUGGUACCACACAGAUUCAAUGCACAUGCUGGAUUCAUUUAAAUACAUCCAAGUCUGCAUUUCAUUUUUUAAAGACUUUUUUGCUAGAAAUCAUAAAUAACCAAUAAUUCUGAAGAAUAUACAAAUUGAUAAAAAUGGGGCACAGUUCUUACCAUGCAUUGAAAGAGAUCAUACAAGGAAAAGGAAACAGAGUUACAUGUCUUCAAACAAAUUAUUUAGAUAAAAUGUAGUAUUAGGUAAGGUGCUAACAACAUCUCUCAUUUUAAAGGUAAAGAUUGUUGUCCAACACUGAAUCACCCUAGUUAAAGAAACCAUAAAAAUUACUCUUUAUUCCGGAAACAGAGUUAAUGUAUUGUAACAUCUGGUGAUCCAGGGAAACAGCAAUGCAUUUCCUAAAAUACCUGGCAUUGGUCCAGUGCUUUAUCAGCAUCCUGAAAAUACAGGCAAUUGAAAAAAUACUCAUUAUGGCUGCAUGAUAUGAAUUUCAGACAAAGCAAAAAGUUCAGCAUAAUUCUAUACAAGUCACAUCCAAUUUGGAUCACACCAUGUAAUAGCUAAGCAAUUUAGAAGGCUGAAUUGUGGUUUUAGAACUGCAAUAAAGUUUUUUCAUGUGAAAUUCAUACAGCAAACUUUAUGUUCUGGAUAUGGACAAGAAAAGAGAGUGUCAGACUCCAAAAAAUCAAUACUAAUUUAGUAGGUGUUUUUGAAAACAAACCUGGCAAAGCAUGUACACUGCUACUCAGGAAUCCCUGUAUUAAAGACUCUGUAUUACUUACUGUUCAUAUUGAGAAUUAUCACUUUGAUGGAUGUGGGUUUGUGAACAACAGUCCUCGUGUUCAUUUUCUGAUCCUUCUUAGAGCACUCUUGAAAACCUGGACGUGUUCAUCAGACCAGAAUGUAGCUCAGCUGCAAACAGAAGUGUUAAUGAGUUUAUCAGAAGCCACAGAGAUGCAUAACUAAAAGGCAACUUGGGCUCCCUUCUGAGGGACAGCAUUCCAGAAAACACUGCUGACAUUUCAAAGGAGUUAUUUGGAGGUCAAUGCAGCACAGAGAUUUAAACAGCUUUCCUGUGAGCUGAGAGGAAACAAGAACACAGAAAUGACAAGGGCAACAGACUGGAAUUGUGGCCUUGCAUGUUACUACGUAAGAGAACACACAGGUUAGGAAAAGGUUUAAAACUGAAGGCAGAAAAAGAUAAUGCGAUCAAAAAUAGCCAUGGUGUACAAGAAGUUCCUCUUGAUGCAGUACUGCAGCCAGGAAAUAGGAUAAUACUGCAUGAAGAGAAGAAUGAAAUGUAUCAUUAUGUAUUUUUUUAGAGGGAAGUUUAAGUUGUAUGCCACACAGGAAAAACCACAUUGUUGGAAGCUUAUCAUCAUGGUAGUAAAAGGCCAGGAAAAAACCCAAACCAAACAAAAAAGCCAACAAAUCAAAACACCCCAAACUGCUCUUUAUGUAAAUAUUAUGGCUGUUCAUAGGUAACUCACAUGUGCAAAAGUACCUCUA